CCUACGGGAGGCUGCAGUGGGGAAUAUUGGACAAUGGGGGGAACCCUGAUCCAGCCAUGCCGCGUGUGUGAAGAAGGCCCUCGGGUUGUAAAGCACUUUCAGUGAGGAAGAACGCCUGGUGGUUAAUACCCAUCAGGAAAGACAUCACUCACAGAAGAAGCACCGGCUAACUCCGUGCCAGCAGCCGCGGUAAUACGGAGGGUGCGAGCGUUAAUCGGAAUUACUGGGCGUAAAGCGCGCGUAGGUGGCUUGAUAAGCCGGUUGUGAAAGCCCCGGGCUCAACCUGGGAACGGCAUCCGGAACUGUCAAGCUAGAGUGCAGGAGAGGAAGGUAGAAUUCCCGGUGUAGCGGUGAAAUGCGUAGAGAUCGGGAGGAAUACCAGUGGCGAAGGCGGCCUUCUGGACUGACACUGACACUGAGGUGCGAAAGCGUGGGUAGCAAACAGGAUUAGAUCCCCGGUAGUC
This 464-nucleotide ribosomal RNA is filed under the name Vreelandella stevensii. RNAcentral describes it as "partial 16S ribosomal RNA". It matches the Rfam family "Bacterial small subunit ribosomal RNA", at positions 338 to 795 of the family's 1533-position model. Lineage: Bacteria; Pseudomonadati; Pseudomonadota; Gammaproteobacteria; Oceanospirillales; Halomonadaceae. The record is from RNAcentral.